Long non-coding RNA from Physella acuta, 304 nucleotides. RefSeq lists it as uncharacterized. NCBI's taxonomy places the organism in Eukaryota, Metazoa, Mollusca, Gastropoda, Physidae. The record is from RefSeq and is a predicted model, not a curated record.
UCUCCGUCGUCAACAAGUGCCACCUCAACAACCACACGUGCAUCCCCGUGCGCGUGAGUACAGUGUACGACAGCUACCUAUUCGACCUUGACUUUCAUCAGGAUUUUCUCGUUUCAAGUGACGUCACCGGGAACCGCCUAAUUUUAAUCGACACAAAAAGCGAGCAGAUUUUACGACAGAACUGGCCAGGUUCAACCUACGGCGUCUGUGUAGCGGCCGAGGAAAGACAACCCUGGAUUGAACUCCCUAAAACAGACUACAAGAAGCCAGACCCAGACAACGGUGACGUCAUUCAGGACGCAGC